GAGAUUAUAGUUAAAAAUAACAUUUAAUUUGCAAUUAAAAAUUACCAUUAAAGGUUUUUCUCA
RNAcentral lists this transfer RNA (63 nucleotides) under Cysteochila lineata. RNAcentral describes it as "tRNA-Ala". Lineage: Eukaryota; Metazoa; Arthropoda; Insecta; Hemiptera; Tingidae. The record is from RNAcentral.